Molecule: transfer RNA, 73 nt
Filed under: Stegodyphus mimosarum
Lineage: Eukaryota; Metazoa; Arthropoda; Arachnida; Araneae; Eresidae
Rfam family: tRNA
About the family: Transfer RNA (tRNA) molecules are approximately 80 nucleotides in length. Their secondary structure includes four short double-helical elements and three loops (D, anti-codon, and T loops).
Source: Rfam by way of RNAcentral
GCCUUCGUGGUGUAGUGGUCAGCACACUCUGCGCGUAUUCUAGAGGUCCGUGGUUUAAGUCCCGCCGAGGGCA